UACGUAGGGACCAAGCGUUGUUCGGAUUUACUGGGCGUAAAGGGCGCGUAGGCGGCAAUUCAAGUCACUGUGAAAUCUCCGGGCUUAACCCGGAACGGUCAGAUGAUACUGCUUUGCUAGAGUGCGGAAGGGGCAAUCGGAAUUCUUGGUGUAGCGGUGAAAUGCGUAGAUAUCAAGAGGAACACCUGAGGUGAAGACGGGUUGCUGGGCCGACACUGACGCUGAGGCACGAAAGCGUGGGAGCAAACAGG
This 251-nucleotide ribosomal RNA is filed under the name uncultured bacterium. RNAcentral's name for it is "partial 16S ribosomal RNA". It matches the Rfam family "Bacterial small subunit ribosomal RNA", at positions 524 to 776 of the family's 1533-position model. The record is from RNAcentral.